UCCAAAGCUAUGAAUGACUGCAGAACUGCAAACGCCUAGUGUUCUUGUACAUGAAGAGGCAGGACUGAGAUACGUUAGGGACACUGCUUGGUCCGUUUUAGGACUUUUGCCAACGUCGAAAUAACUUUUGGUCAACAAUUAAUAAUUCAACCAACUUGUUCCUGUGCUAGCGCAAACGAGAAAUCUCCUGCACUACUUAUAAUAAUGGAUUUCGUUGGAUGAGACGGAUGUGUCAUGAGACCGAGGUGAGAUGAACUACCGUUUGAAAUGUGAGGACGCUUAGACAGAGACUUCACAGUUAGAUCACACUAGUUGGAUAACACCAGAUCACAUCAGUUAGAUCACACCAUCUUUUUCAUAGUGUACCUUGGCAGGUGGUAACCCAAUGAUUUAGUUUGAACUAUACUAAAUUUACUCUAUGUGCAUUUGACUUUUCAUGUUUUGAAGCUGCAAAUGAAUCUCUAUCUAUAAGGAUGUUAUAUCAUUAAUUGACAAAGGCAUUUUGGUUCAGAGAAAUAUUUGAUUGAAAGGAUCCACUCAGAGGACCCCCAAAGCAUUGCAAUCAAAUAUAACUUUUUAAACACAUUCCCUACCUUACUGUCAUAGACUGUUCUCUCUGGUGUACCGAUGCACCAAGUCUGGAACCAACAGGACCCUGAACAGCUUUUACCCCCAAGACAUACGACUGCUAAAUAGUUUGUUUAAUUAGUUAACCAAUAACUACCUGCACUGUCUGUAUUGACCCUUUUUGCACUAGCUCCUUUGACUCAUCACAUACGCUGCUGCUACUGUUAAUUAUCUAUCCUGUUGUCUAGUCACUUUAUCCCUGCCUAUAUGUACAUACAUACCUCAAUUACCUCGUACCCCUGCACAUGGACUCAGUACUGGUACCCUGCUAUUAUAGCUGAGUUUUCAUUACUCAUUCCUCGUGUUAUCAUUAUUCUAUUAUUCCUUGUUUUUUCCCCUCUGCAUUUUUGGGAAGGGCCUGUAAGUGUUUCCAUGACAGUCUACACAUGUUGCUUACAAAGUAUGUGACAAAUAACAUUUGAUUUGACUGUAAUAUGAUGUACUGUAUGUCUCUGUUAGUGUGGUUUGGGAUUUCCUGUGUGAGCCUGCUAUGUGGCUCUCCUCACCUCGUCCUCUCACUCUGGGGGCCCUGUCAAUAGCCAUAUUCCGUUUCCAUUUCCUCCCUCUAGAACACCAGGCAACCCAUUACUCUACUGUUAAAGCAGGAUGGACUUUUUGGGCUAAAGCACCUCAUAGCUCCCAAGUGAUGACAUGGAUCUGUUAGAUGGCUCUAAAGCUGUUUCUGCAGACUAUUGGCUUUAAAAAGGCCUGAGGCUGAAAUACUAGGAGACCUACCUUUUAAUGACUAGUCAAGAGACGGAGGGAAAUCGCUGGACGCAGGAGUUCACGGUAAUCUGGGUUCAUGCUGCUGGUUUGUUGAGGUCGAUUUGUUGAAGUUGACUCCUUGAUGUCUCAAAAUGGUUCUGUACCUCUAACAUAACAACAAUAAAUGAUUUUAUACUGAG
This is a long non-coding RNA of Oncorhynchus masou masou (cherry salmon), 1532 nucleotides long. RefSeq lists it as uncharacterized. The record is from RefSeq and is a predicted model, not a curated record. The transcript is spliced from 2 exons. Lineage: Eukaryota; Metazoa; Chordata; Actinopteri; Salmoniformes; Salmonidae.